CCUACGGGUGGCAGCAGUGAGGAAUAUUGGUCAAUGGGCGCAAGCCUGAACCAGCCAAGUCGCGUGAGGGAUGACGGCCCUACGGAUUGUAAACUUCUUUUGUCGGGGAGCAAGUCCGGCCACGUGUGGCCGGAGCGAGAGUACCUGAAGAAAAAGCAUCGGCUAACUCCGUGCCAGCAGCCGCGGUAAUACGGAGGAUGCGAGCUUUAUUCGGAUUCAGUGGGUUAAAGGGGUGCGUAGGCGGAUGGUUAGGUCGGCGGUAAAAUCUUGUGGCUUAACACAGGACUGCCGUUGAAACUGGUAUUCUUGAGUGAGCGAGAGGUAUGCGGAAUGCGUGGUGUAGCGGUAAAAUGCGUAGAUAUCAAGAGGAACACUGAUUGCGAAGGCGACAUACCAGAGCACAACUGACGCUGAGGCGCGAAAGCGUGGGGAGCAAACAGGAUUAGAUACCCCUGUAGUC
Molecule: ribosomal RNA, 460 nt
Filed under: uncultured bacterium
Lineage: Bacteria
Description: partial 16S ribosomal RNA
Rfam family: Bacterial small subunit ribosomal RNA
Source: RNAcentral